This 429-nucleotide ribosomal RNA is filed under the name Bacteroidota bacterium. RNAcentral describes it as "Bacteroidetes bacterium partial 16S ribosomal RNA". It matches the Rfam family "Bacterial small subunit ribosomal RNA", at positions 355 to 776 of the family's 1533-position model. Lineage: Bacteria; Pseudomonadati; Bacteroidota. The record is from RNAcentral.
UAGGGAAUCUUCGGCAAUGGGGGGAACCCUUACCGAGCAACGCCGCGUGAGUGAAGAAGGUUUUCGGAUCGUAAAGCUCUGUUGUUAAGGAAGAACGAGUGUGAGAAUGGAAAGUUCAUGCUGUGACGGUACUUAACCAGAAAGGGACGGCUAACUACGUGCCAGCAGCCGCGGUAAUACGUAUGUCCCGAGCGUUGUCCGGAUUUAUUGGGCGUAAAGCGAGCGCAGGCGGUUAGAAAAGUCUGAAGUGAAAGGCAGUGGCUCAACCAUUGUAGGCUUUGGAAACUGUUUGACUUGAGUGCAGAAGGGGAGAGUGGAAUUCCAGGUGUAGGGGUGAAAUGCGUAGAGAUAUGGAGGAACACCGGUGGCGAAAGCGGCUCUCUGGUCUGUAACUGACGCUGAGGCUCGAAAGCGUGGGGAGCGAACAGG